Molecule: ribosomal RNA, 1331 nt
Filed under: uncultured bacterium
Lineage: Bacteria
Description: bacterial SSU rRNA
Rfam family: Bacterial small subunit ribosomal RNA
Source: RNAcentral
CUUGGUGGAUCAGUGGCGAACGGGUGAGUAACACGUGAGCAACCUGCCCUGGACUCUGGGAUAAGCGCUGGAAACGGCGUCUAAUACUGGAUAUGAGCUCUCAUCGCAUGGUGGGGGUUGGAAAGAUUUUUCGGUCUGGGAUGGGCUCGCGGCCUAUCAGCUUGUUGGUGAGGUAAUGGCUCACCAAGGCGUCGACGGGUAGCCGGCCUGAGAGGGUGACCGGCCACACUGGGACUGAGACACGGCCCAGACUCCUACGGGAGGCAGCAGUGGGGAAUAUUGCACAAUGGGCGGAAGCCUGAUGCAGCAACGCCGCGUGAGGGAUGACGGCCUUCGGGUUGUAAACCUCUUUUAGCAGGGAAGAAGCGAGAGUGACGGUACCUGCAGAAAAAGCGCCGGCUAACUACGUGCCAGCAGCCGCGGUAAUACGUAGGGCGCAAGCGUUAUCCGGAAUUAUUGGGCGUAAAGAGCUCGUAGGCGGUUUGUCGCGUCUGCUGUGAAAUCCCGAGGCUCAACCUCGGGCCUGCAGUGGGUACGGGCAGACUAGAGUGCGGUAGGGGAGAUUGGAAUUCCUGGUGUAGCGGUGGAAUGCGCAGAUAUCAGGAGGAACACCGAUGGCGAAGGCAGAUCUCUGGGCCGUAACUGACGCUGAGGAGCGAAAGGGUGGGGAGCAAACAGGCUUAGAUACCCUGGUAGUCCACCCCGUAAACGUUGGGAACUAGUUGUGGGGACCAUUCCACGGUUUCCGUGACGCAGCUAACGCAUUAAGUUCCCCGCCUGGGGAGUACGGCCGCAAGGCUAAAACUCAAAGGAAUUGACGGGGACCCGCACAAGCGGCGGAGCAUGCGGAUUAAUUCGAUGCAACGCGAAGAACCUUACCAAGGCUUGACAUACACCAGAACACCGUAGAAAUACGGGACUCUUUGGACACUGGUGAACAGGUGGUGCAUGGUUGUCGUCAGCUCGUGUCGUGAGAUGUUGGGUUAAGUCCCGCAACGAGCGCAACCCUCGUUCUAUGUUGCCAGCACGUAAUGGUGGGAACUCAUGGGAUACUGCCGGGGUCAACUCGGAGGAAGGUGGGGAUGACGUCAAAUCAUCAUGCCCCUUAUGUCUUGGGCUUCACGCAUGCUACAAUGGCCGGUACAAAGGGCUGCAAUACCGUGAGGUGGAGCGAAUCCCAAAAAGCCGGUCCCAGUUCGGAUUGAGGUCUGCAACUCGACCUCAUGAAGUCGGAGUCGCUAGUAAUCGCAGAUCAGCAACGCUGCGGUGAAUACGUUCCCGGGUCUUGUACACACCGCCCGUCAAGUCAUGAAAGUCGGUAACACCUGAAG